Molecule: ribosomal RNA, 270 nt
Filed under: uncultured archaeon
Lineage: Archaea
Description: partial 16S ribosomal RNA
Rfam family: Archaeal small subunit ribosomal RNA
Source: RNAcentral
CAGCACCUCAAGUGGUCAGGAUGAUUAUUGGGCCUAAAGCAUCCGUAGCCGGCGCUGUAAGUUUUCGGUUAAAUCUGUACGCUCAACGUACAGGCUGCCGGGAUUACUGCAGCGCUAGGGAGUGGGAGAGGUAGACGGUACUCGGUAGGAAGGGGUAAAAUCCUUUGAUCUAUUGAUGACCACCUGUGGCGAAGGCGGUCUACCAGAACACGUCCGACGGUGAGGGAUGAAAGCUGGGGGAGCAAACCGGAUUAGAUACCCGAGUAGUCC